RNAcentral lists this ribosomal RNA (492 nucleotides) under uncultured bacterium. RNAcentral's name for it is "partial 16S ribosomal RNA". It matches the Rfam family "Bacterial small subunit ribosomal RNA", at positions 29 to 507 of the family's 1533-position model. The record is from RNAcentral.
AGUGAACGCUGGCGGUAGGCCUAACACAUGCAAGUCGAACGGCAGCACAGUAAGAGCUUGCUCUUACGGGUGGCGAGUGGCGGACGGGUGAGGAAUACAUCGUAAUCUACUUUUUCGUGGGGGAUAACGUAGGGAAACUUACGCUAAUACCGCAUACGACCUACGGUUGAAAGCAGUGGAUCUUCUGACCUUGCGCGAUUGAAUUAGCCGAUGUCGGAUUAGCUAGUUGGCGGGGUAAAGGCCCACCAAGGCGACGAUCCGUAGCUGGUCUGAGAGGAUGAUCAGCCACAUUGGAACUGAGACACGGUCCAGACUCCUACGGGAGGCAGCAGUGGGGAAUAUUGGACAAUGGGCGCAAGCCUGAUCCAGCGAUACCGCGUGGGUGAAGAAGGCCUUCGGGUUGUAAAGACCUUUUGUUGGGAAAGAAAAGCAGCAGGUUAAUACCACGCUGUUCUGACGGUAACCAAAGAAUAAGCACCGGCUAACUUCGUG